This 309-nucleotide long non-coding RNA is filed under the name Nicotiana benthamiana. Its description in RNAcentral is "long non-coding RNA (NBEN_LNC019131)". The record is from RNAcentral. Lineage: Eukaryota; Viridiplantae; Streptophyta; Magnoliopsida; Solanales; Solanaceae.
ACGAGAAAAAAGUUGAUCAACAGAAACAUGAGCAGCUGCGGGAGUAUCAUUAUCGAAAAUCACCAACGAGGCUUCGACAGGCUCAGUGGAACGAAUAGAACGAGGGGGAGAUGCUUCAUCAUCUGAAAUAAUGCGUCUUCUAGACCGUGGCCUUUUUAUCAAAGAACCCCCGUCUUUUUCUUCCUCCUUUUUCAGAGUCUUGAUCAACAAUAGCUUUCCUUUUCAAUGAAGAACCCAAAAUUAUCUCUUGGGCUCUUUCCAAAGGAAUUUUGGAAGCUACGAUGGCCUAAUCACUUACGCCUCGAAUAG